RNAcentral lists this ribosomal RNA (513 nucleotides) under uncultured bacterium. RNAcentral describes it as "partial 16S ribosomal RNA". It matches the Rfam family "Bacterial small subunit ribosomal RNA", at positions 28 to 523 of the family's 1533-position model. The record is from RNAcentral.
GACGAACGCUGGCGGCAUGCCUGAUACAUGCAAGUCGAGCGAACAGAUGGAGUGCUUGCACUUCUGACGUUAGCGGCGAACGGGUGAGCAACACGUAAGGAAUCUACCUAUAAGCGGGGGAUAACAUUCGGAAACGGGUGCUAAUACCGCAUAAUAUCUUCUUCCGCAUGGAAGAAGAUUGAAAGACGGCUCUGCUGUCACUUAUAGAUGACCUUGCGGUGCAUUAGUUAGUUGGUGGGGUAACGGCCUACCAAGGCGAUGAUGCAUAGCCGACCUGAGAGGGUGAUCGGCCACAUUGGGACUGAGACACGGCCCAAACUCCUACGGGAGGCAGCAGUAGGGAAUCUUCCGCAAUGGGCGAAAGCCUGACGGAGCAAUGCCGCGUGAGUGAAGAAGGCCUUCGGGUCGUAAAACUCUGUUAUAAGAGAAGAACAAAUUGUAGAGUAACUGCUACAGUCUUGACGGUAUCUUAUCAGAAAGCCACGGCUAACUACGUGCCAGCAGCCGCCGUAA